This 21-nucleotide non-coding RNA is filed under the name Arabidopsis thaliana (thale cress). Lineage: Eukaryota; Viridiplantae; Streptophyta; Magnoliopsida; Brassicales; Brassicaceae. The record is from RNAcentral.
CUUCUAGAGGUGAUGAUGUUC